CACGUAGGGGGCGAGCGUUGUCCGGAUUUAUUGGGCGUAAAGAGCUCGUAGGCGGCUCGGUAAGUCGGGUGUGAAACCUCCAGGCUCAACCUGGAGACGCCACCUGAUACUGCUGUGGCUAGAGUCCGGUAGGGGAGUGUGGAACUCCUGGUGUAGCGGUGAAAUGCGCAGAUAUCGAGAGGAACACCAGUGGCGAAGGCGGCGUUCUGGACUGCAACUGACACUGAUAAACGAAAGCCAGGGUAGCAAACGGG
RNAcentral lists this ribosomal RNA (254 nucleotides) under uncultured bacterium. RNAcentral's name for it is "partial 16S ribosomal RNA". It matches the Rfam family "Bacterial small subunit ribosomal RNA", at positions 524 to 776 of the family's 1533-position model. The record is from RNAcentral.